RNAcentral lists this ribosomal RNA (426 nucleotides) under uncultured bacterium. Its description in RNAcentral is "bacterial SSU rRNA". It matches the Rfam family "Bacterial small subunit ribosomal RNA", at positions 355 to 775 of the family's 1533-position model. The record is from RNAcentral.
UCGGGAAUUUUGGGCAAUGGGCGAAAGCCUGACCCAGCAACGCCGCGUGAAGGAUGAAAUCCCUCGGGAUGUAAACUUCAUAAGAACGGGAAGAAUAAGUCCGUGCUAACACCACGGGUGAUGACGGUACCGUUAGUAAGCUCCGGCUAACUCCGUGCCAGCAGCCGCGGUAAUACGGGGGGAGCAAGCGUUGUUCGGAUUUACUGGGCGUAAAGGGCGCGUAGGCGGCCACCGCAAGUCAAUUGUGAAAUCUCCGGGCUUAACUCGGAAAGGUCAACUGAUACUGCGGGGCUAGAGUGCGGAAGGGGCAACUGGAAUUCUCGGUGUAGCGGUGAAAUGCGUAGAUAUCGAGAGGAACACCUGCGGCGAAGGCGGGUUGCUGGGCCGACACUGACGCUGAGGCGCGAAAGCUAGGGGAGCGAACGG